This 404-nucleotide ribosomal RNA is filed under the name uncultured bacterium. Its description in RNAcentral is "bacterial SSU rRNA". It matches the Rfam family "Bacterial small subunit ribosomal RNA", at positions 976 to 1381 of the family's 1533-position model. The record is from RNAcentral.
AUCCCUUGACAUCCUGCGAACUUUCUAGAGAUAGAUUGGUGCCUUCGGGAACGCAGUGACAGGUGCUGCAUGGCUGUCGUCAGCUCGUGUCGUGAGAUGUUGGGUUAAGUCCCGCAACGAGCGCAACCCUUAUCUUUAGUUGCUACCAUUUAGUUGAGAACUCUAAAGAGACUGCCGGUGAUAAACCGGAGGAAGGCGGGGACGACGUCAAGUCAUCAUGGCCCUUAUGGGAUGGGCUACACACGUGCUACAAUGGAGGGUACAAAGAGCAGCCAACUGGCGACAGUGCGCGAAUCUCAUAAAACCCUUCGUAGUCCGGAUCGGAGUCUGCAACUCGACUCCGUGAAGUCGGAAUCGCUAGUAAUCGUGAAUCAGAAUGUCACGGUGAAUACGUUCCCGGGCCU